RNAcentral lists this ribosomal RNA (265 nucleotides) under uncultured archaeon. RNAcentral's name for it is "partial 16S ribosomal RNA". It matches the Rfam family "Archaeal small subunit ribosomal RNA", at positions 717 to 982 of the family's 1478-position model. The record is from RNAcentral.
ACACGACUACAUUAGAUACCCGGGUAGUCCCAGCCCUAAACGAUGCGCGUUUAGGUGUAUCGGUGACCACGAGUCACCGAGGUGCCGAAGGGAAACCGUGAAACGUGCCGCCUGGGAAGUGCGGUCGCAAGGCUGAAACUUAAAGGAAUUGGCGGGGGAGCACCACAACGGUGGAGCCUGCGGUUUAAUUGGACUCAACGCCGGGAAGCUCACCGGAUAAGACAGCGGAAUGAUUGCCGGGCUGAAGACCCUGCAUGACCAGCUG